UUAUGCCACAAACGCAUGGCAACGACCAGAUGAGCAGUUAAGACAAUAAAAAGAUAACACAACACUAUGUUUCCAUUUAAGAAAAAAAGUGUACUAAUAUGGAUUCAUGAUGGCUGAAAGUUAAGA
Molecule: long non-coding RNA, 126 nt
Organism: Lontra canadensis (Northern American river otter)
Lineage: Eukaryota; Metazoa; Chordata; Mammalia; Carnivora; Mustelidae
Exons: 3
Source: RefSeq, a predicted model, not a curated record